This 216-nucleotide ribosomal RNA is filed under the name Glomeromycotina sp. Its description in RNAcentral is "partial small subunit ribosomal RNA". The stretch from base 40 to 216 matches the Rfam family "Eukaryotic small subunit ribosomal RNA", at positions 686 to 864 of the family's 1831-position model. Lineage: Eukaryota; Fungi; Glomeromycota. The record is from RNAcentral.
GGGUCAGUAGGUUGGUCGUGCCACCGGUACGUACUGGUCUCACUGAUUCCUCCUUCCUGAAGAACCGUAAUGCCAUUAAUUAGGUGUUGCGGGGAAACAGGACUGUUACUUUGAAAAGAUUAGAGUGUUUAAAGCAAGCUAACGCUUGAAUACAUUAGCAUGGAAUAAUGAAAUAGGACGAUCGAUCCUAUUUUGUUGGUUUCUAGGAUUGACGUA